This 742-nucleotide ribosomal RNA is filed under the name Bacillus sp. (in: firmicutes). RNAcentral describes it as "bacterial SSU rRNA". It matches the Rfam family "Bacterial small subunit ribosomal RNA", at positions 408 to 1143 of the family's 1533-position model. The record is from RNAcentral. Lineage: Bacteria; Bacillati; Bacillota; Bacilli; Caryophanales; Bacillaceae.
AUGAAGGUUUUCGGAUCGUAAAGCUCUGUUGUUAGGGAAGAACAAGUGCGAGAGUAACUGCUCGCACCUUGACGGUACCUAACCAGAAAGCCACGGCUAACUACGUGCCAGCAGCCGCGGUAAUACGUAGGUGGCAAGCGUUGUCCGGAAUUAUUGGGCGUAAAGGGCUCGCAGGCGGUUUCUUAAGUCUGAUGUGAAAGCCCCCGGCUCAACCGGGGAGGGUCAUUGGAAACUGGGAAACUUGAGUGCAGAAGAGGAGAGUGGAAUUCCACGUGUAGCGGUGAAAUGCGUAGAGAUGUGGAGGAACACCAGUGGCGAAGGCGACUCUCUGGUCUGUAACUGACGCUGAGGAGCGAAAGCGUGGGGAGCGAACAGGAUUAGAUACCCUGGUAGUCCACGCCGUAAACGAUGAGUGCUAAGUGUUAGGGGGUUUCCGCCCCUUAGUGCUGCAGCUAACGCAUUAAGCACUCCGCCUGGGGAGUACGGUCGCAAGACUGAAACUCAAAGGAAUUGACGGGGGCCCGCACAAGCGGUGGAGCAUGUGGUUUAAUUCGAAGCAACGCGAAGAACCUUACCAGGUCUUGACAUCCUCUGACAACCCUAGAGAUAGGGCUUUCCCUUCGGGGACAGAGUGACAGGUGGUGCAUGGUUGUCGUCAGCUCGUGUCGUGAGAUGUUGGGUUAAGUCCCGCAACGAGCGCAACCCUUGAUCUUAGUUGCCAGCAUUUAGUUGGGCACUCUAA